Molecule: ribosomal RNA, 436 nt
Filed under: uncultured Oscillibacter sp.
Lineage: Bacteria; Bacillati; Bacillota; Clostridia; Eubacteriales; Oscillospiraceae
Description: partial 16S ribosomal RNA
Rfam family: Bacterial small subunit ribosomal RNA
Source: RNAcentral
ACGGGAGGCAGCAGUGGGGAAUAUUGGGCAAUGGGGGAAACCCUGACCCAGCAACGCCGCGUGAAGGAAGAAGGCCUUCGGGUUGUAAACUUCUUUUAGUAGGGACGAAGACAUGACGGUACCUACAGAAAAAGCAACGGCUAACUACGUGCCAGCAGCCGCGGUAAUACGUAGGUUGCAAGCGUUGUCCGGAUUUACUGGGUGUAAAGGGCGUGUAGGCGGAGCUGCAAGUCAGAUGUGAAAUCCCGGGGCUUAACCCCGGAACUGCAUUUGAAACUGUUUCCCUUGAGUAUCGGAGGGGCAGGCGGAAUUCCUAGUGUAGCGGUGAAAUGCGUAGAUAUUAGGAAGAACACCGGUGGCGAAGGCGGCCUGCUGGACGACAACUGACGCUGAGGCGCGAAAGCGUGGGGAGCAAACAGGAUUAGAUACCCUGGUA